Molecule: non-coding RNA, 221 nt
Organism: Pimephales promelas (fathead minnow)
Lineage: Eukaryota; Metazoa; Chordata; Actinopteri; Cypriniformes; Leuciscidae
Source: RefSeq, a predicted model, not a curated record
AUCAGCUCCAGCAUAGUUCUCUGGACUUCAUUAUCUCCUCCGGCUCCAUCAUCAAAACGGGCACCUAUAAGAGGGCAGUGUAAGCAUGCUUUCUUCUGAAUAGAAAAAGCACUUACCUCUCCAACAUACUUCUGAACAAGCUCGGAUCCGAUGACUCUUAUGAAGCAGGCAUCAGUGCGGUUAGCCACAGCUCGAGCACACAAGGUUUUCCCCGUACCGGG